UGUUGAAGACGGCAAAGACUGUCUUUUUUACCUUGGUGUGCCCAGAUUCAUUUUCUUAAAGGAGUAGAAAAUUUCAAGAUAAAAAAUGAAUUGCUGAUUUUUCCUUUACAACUCAUUGUUUGUCCUGUCUCUUUAUCUGUGGGUAAACUUUGUUUGUCACGACGUUUGGGCGGCCGUUGUUGCACUUUCCGUCGAGUUCCUCUGUUGAGAAACGAAGGAUGCUCACAAAGAGGUGGGCCACGUUGUGUGUGCAUAGUUCGAUAUGUCGAACCUUCCCAGUAAGCGUCAUGGUGGCUGUUUAGAAUUUAACCCCUUGACAGUCUUAACCAAAGAUAGCAUCCUUGACAUGGAAGUUUACAACUUACCAUCUUCGGUGGUUCUAAGAUGUCCUCUGCCCUCCGAGUGGGUGACAGAUACACGGUUAGAUGAAAUCCCUAUAUAAGUAAAAGAGAAGUACAAAAAUGCUUCCGGGUCGGGUCAAUUACAAAAAAUAACCCAAAAUUAAAGUUGUCGGAUUCGGGUUAGAAAUAUCCACGACGUUAUAAAUGGGUUAUCAGGUUAUAUUAAAUGAAAACUUAAAUAGAUUUUCCAAAAAAUAUAUAUAGUACUUACGAGAAUAUUUUUGGUUCCUGUAAUUUAGUAAACUAACAUACAAUUAGUAUUAUGUUAGUCGACAACAUUUCAAUUUCGGAAACUAUAAUUAUGGUAUUUUAAAUUAUAGAAGUACAAGCAGAACAUUUACUACGCAAUUUUGAAUUAUAGAAAUAUCAUUUAGUUACAAAGAUAUUUCCUUUCAAACUGUACCUAAUUUUUAGUCAUAUAAUUGAUUUAGAUACCGUAAAUCUCAUUAAAACUAUCCUAACUAACAUAUCCCAAAAAUAUUUCCUUCCAAGAUUUGAUUACCGAAUUACAUAUGGUUAAUAUUUCAAAAAUUAGGAGAAUAUAUCCUAAAAUCCCCUAUAUAUUAAAAGAGAAACAUUCUCUAAAAAAAGCUGAUGUGUCAUCCCCAGAGAGCUUUGUACCCAAUUUAUUAUUUACCUUUAAUAUUUUAUAAUAUUACAUACAACUGCCACUGCUAUUUUUUUGUCAACUACCACUGCUGC
Camelina sativa (false flax) is the source of this 1103-nucleotide non-coding RNA. Lineage: Eukaryota; Viridiplantae; Streptophyta; Magnoliopsida; Brassicales; Brassicaceae. The record is from RefSeq and is a predicted model, not a curated record.